Molecule: long non-coding RNA, 209 nt
Filed under: Lathyrus oleraceus (garden pea)
Lineage: Eukaryota; Viridiplantae; Streptophyta; Magnoliopsida; Fabales; Fabaceae
Description: Pisum sativum (pea) long non-coding RNA (PSAT_LNC031693)
Source: RNAcentral
GAGGGGAAAAACUUUCCAUUUUGGGCAGCUGAGAUUGCAGGUCCACUUGCCACUUUGGGAAACUUUCUAUCUGAGCUCAAUUCCUUCAACCUUGGUCUUUGAAAUGCCGAAUGAAGUUUAUAUGGACAUGAAUGAGGUCUUUCUAACCAAUUCCAAUCAUCAAAUCACUGAUUAAAUGCACAGUUGACCACAGUUGACUUUUGUUGACU